This 322-nucleotide ribosomal RNA is filed under the name Trichophyton benhamiae. RNAcentral's name for it is "LSU rRNA". It matches the Rfam family "Eukaryotic large subunit ribosomal RNA", at positions 331 to 670 of the family's 3401-position model. Lineage: Eukaryota; Fungi; Ascomycota; Eurotiomycetes; Onygenales; Arthrodermataceae. The record is from RNAcentral.
AGACCGAUAGCGAACAAGUAGAGUGAUCGAAAGGUUAAAAGCACCUUGAAAAGGGAGUUAAACAGCACGUGAAAUUGUUGAAAGGGAAGCGCUUGCGGCCAGACUCGGGGGCGGGGUUCAGCGGGUGCUCGUCGCCCGUGUAUUCCUCGUCUCCCGGGCCAGCAUCAGUUUCGACGGCCGGUCAAAGGCCCCCGGAAUGUGUCGUCUCUCGGGACGUCUUAUAGCCGGGGGUGCAAUGCGGCCCGUCGGGACUGAGGAACGCGCUCCGGCUCGGAUGCUGGCGUAAUGGCCGUAAGCGGCCCGUCUUGAAACACGGACCAAG